UUCCGUUCUAUGAAUAUAUUCAACCAGCUGACAGAAUUUGGAAAAUAUUCAUCCCGAAAAUGUAUCAUGACGGAUCGAGCUCCUACAACUAUUUCAAUUUAUUCACCCUCGAAUAUCCACUCGGACUAGGCACCGAAAGACGUUCUUUGAAAGCUUUCAUCCUGAAAGCUUUCAUUCAAUAGGUGAAUCAAUCUCCCUGAUAAUUCAUAGUUUUCAUUCACAGACGAACAGUCACUCCUUAUCUGUGGAAUGUAAAGAUGGCUAAAUAAAACAUAUGUGAAGCUAAAAUUUCCAAAUUUGUUUUUAUAAUACUAUUAUUACAUUCAAGCUAAGCUCACUAACAUAAAUCAUAUGGAAAGAACAAUCGAAAAUAUAAGAGUUCCAUAUACGACAAAC
Molecule: long non-coding RNA, 396 nt
Filed under: Aedes aegypti (yellow fever mosquito)
Lineage: Eukaryota; Metazoa; Arthropoda; Insecta; Diptera; Culicidae
Description: lncRNA AAEL023383
Source: RNAcentral